GGGGUGCUCAGGGAGGCAGCACUGCGCAAGCGCAAUAGAGGGGGCUGCGUCGACACCCACUUAACUUCGGAGUUAGUGGGACACCUUUCUUUUUGCUUAGUACGCUUUUCUGCUAUUCCUGCCGCAUAACUCUCUCUUCCCCAGGCUUUUCCCAUCUCCAUCCUAUUCUCUCGCAGGCAGGUUUUUCUUCCGCCUCUCUGGGGAUUUUCGCGUUGGUUCUCCCUGCCCCCAGGAGUGAGGCGGGUAACGCCCACGCCUACCUCCGGUGCUGGGGGAAAAGAUUACUUCCCAGAUGCAGUAUUUACAUCUCCUCCGCCCUACUCUUCCAACCCUGCCUGAAAUAAGUGUGGUUCUCCUGUCUGUCAGACUAUGAAGAGUUCUCAAAUAUGUCUUUCCCAGCGAGGGAGAGGAGAAAACUUCAGCCUCCACGAUCGAUGUUUCUCAAGUGUCAAGGAAAAUGGAGCCUAGGAGGGCAGCCCCACAAGCAGCGUGAUGGGCAUUUAAGCCGACGCAUGUGCCAGGUCCUAGAACAGAGUAA
RNAcentral lists this long non-coding RNA (538 nucleotides) under Homo sapiens (human). RNAcentral describes it as "non-protein coding lnc-GDAP2-1:2". Lineage: Eukaryota; Metazoa; Chordata; Mammalia; Primates; Hominidae. The record is from RNAcentral.